This 265-nucleotide long non-coding RNA is filed under the name Brachypodium distachyon (stiff brome). Its description in RNAcentral is "long non-coding RNA (BDIS_LNC002736)". The record is from RNAcentral. Lineage: Eukaryota; Viridiplantae; Streptophyta; Magnoliopsida; Poales; Poaceae.
GAGUUUCUUCUAGAGAAGACUUCUUUACAAUUAUACUGUCUUCCUUCAGAGGUGUAGUUUGCUCAAUGGUGCUCGCAGGAGUAUCUUUUAGAGGUGAAGAAGAUUCAUCUUUUAGAGGUGGGGAAGAUUCAUCUUUUAGAGGGGGAGGAGAUUCUGCCAAAAUAGCAGGUUCUUCAUGCAGUAGCACAGGAAUUUCUUGAGGGAUUAGAGUCUCCCUGACAGGGGAAGGUAUGUCAGUCACAACAGCUGAAAUUUGUUCCUGAGG